Molecule: RNA transcript, 941 nt
Organism: Physcomitrium patens
Lineage: Eukaryota; Viridiplantae; Streptophyta; Bryopsida; Funariales; Funariaceae
Gene name: proteasome subunit beta type-7-B-like
Source: RefSeq, a predicted model, not a curated record
UACAUUUUGGCUUCGAUCCUGGGUUCAAGAUAUAUUAUUUUUUGUUGCUUUAGCGGUGUAUGGCCCGGGAAAACUGUGUCAUCGUUUCACAAGUUAAAGGCCUUUGUCAUUCCAAUCGAUCUUUCAUUGGACUGAAACUAAUCGCACAGUGCGAGAAGCGCAUCGCACUUAUAUUUGUGACUUAUUUGCGGCUCUCGUUUUCCAACCAUGACGAAAUCCGGUGUUAUUGAUAUGUACCUCCCACGGCGUGGUUUCAGCUUUGAUCUGUAUCGUUGCAACGCCGUGUUAUAGCAGCAGCAGGGGGCGCCAAUCUGUCCGGGCACCGGAAUACGGAGAACCUCCAUCGUUGGCCUCAUUUGCUUUCUAACCUCGGCUACCGUGCAGAUUGACUGUUAUCCUGGGAGCUGAUACGUGAGUGACGGCAGGAGAGAUCGGUUGCGACAAGAAUUGUGAAAAAGAUUUGUUACCUUGCUCCAAGCAUUUUCUGUUGCGGAGCCGGUACUGCAACCGAUACCGAAAAUGUCACAGAUAUGGUGAGUUCCGAGCUGGCACUGCAUCGGUAUGCCACUGGUCGAGAAUCACACGUUGUAACGGCAUUGACCACUCUUAAAUCUCGUCUGUUCUGGUUUGGACUUGCAGGUUUCUCCUUAUGGAUCCAGACACCCUCUCAUUUGCGACGAUGGGUUCAGGUGCCUUGGCUGCCAUGUGUGUAUUUGAAUCCAGAUAGAAGGAGAGUAUAACGGAUGGAAAAGCAUAUUUGCGCAAUUAUCAGCAACCUAAUCCUCGCAGCUAUACCAGUAGAAAGAGUUACAAUUUCAGGAAUGGACAUACUGGAGGGUUUUUCUAUUCUCCCACGAUUUUGUGGUUGAAUUGUACAGAAUCAUUUUAUGGACUUUUAAUGCAAAUUCUUCUUGUAGAAUGCACUAGAUAUUUAAUAACUA